CACGUAGGGGGCAAGCGUUGUCCGGAUUUAUUGGGCGUAAAGAGCUCGUAGGCUGUUCGAUAAGUCGGGUGUGAAACCUCCAGGCUCAACCUGGAGACGCCACCCGAUACUGUCAUGACUAGAGUCCGGUAGGGGAGCGUGGAAUUCCUGGUGUAGCGGUGAAAUGCGCAGAUAUCAGGAGGAACACCAGCGGCGAAGGCGGCGCUCUGGGCCGGUACUGACGCUGAGACGCGAAAGCGUGGGGAGCAAACAGG
RNAcentral lists this ribosomal RNA (254 nucleotides) under uncultured bacterium. RNAcentral describes it as "partial 16S ribosomal RNA". It matches the Rfam family "Bacterial small subunit ribosomal RNA", at positions 524 to 776 of the family's 1533-position model. The record is from RNAcentral.